This 380-nucleotide ribosomal RNA is filed under the name uncultured bacterium. RNAcentral describes it as "bacterial SSU rRNA". It matches the Rfam family "Bacterial small subunit ribosomal RNA", at positions 28 to 404 of the family's 1533-position model. The record is from RNAcentral.
GACGAACGCUGGCGGCGUGCUUAACACAUGCAAGUCGAGCGAGGCCCUCUCUUCGGGGGGGUGGCCCUACGCGGCGAACGGGUGAGUAACACGUGGGCAACCUGCCCUCCAGCUCUGGGAUAACUCCAAGAAAUUGGUGCUAAUACCGGAUGUGACCGCUGACCGCAUGGUCUGGUGGUGGAAAGAUUCAUCGGCUGAGGAUGGGCCCGCGGCCUAUCAGCUUGUUGGUGGGGCAUGGCUCACCAAGGCGACGACGGGUAGCCGGCCUGAGAGGGUGACCGGCCACACUGGGACUGAGACACGGCCCAGACUCCUACGGGAGGCAGCAGGUGGGGAAUAUUGCGCAAUGGGCGAAAGCCUGACGCAGCGACGCCGCGUGA